This 259-nucleotide ribosomal RNA is filed under the name uncultured bacterium. RNAcentral describes it as "partial 16S ribosomal RNA". It matches the Rfam family "Bacterial small subunit ribosomal RNA", at positions 524 to 776 of the family's 1533-position model. The record is from RNAcentral.
UACGUAGGGUGCAAGCGUUGUCCGGAAUUAUUGGGCGUAAAGAGCUCGUAGGCGGCUUGUCGCGUCGACUGUGAAAACCCGUGGCUCAACCAUGUGGUCUGCAGUCGAUACAGGCAGGCUAGAAUUCGGUAGGGGAGACUGGAAUUCCUGGUGUAGCGGUGAAAUGCGUAGAUAUCACUUGGAACGCCAAUGGUGAAGACGAGCUCGCGUGGGGGAUGUCCUGACGCUGAGGCGCGAAAAGCCAGGGGAGGCGAACGGG